AUUGAACGCUGGCGGCAUGCCUUACACAUGCAAGUCGAACGGUAACAGGUCUUCGGAUGCUGACGAGUGGCGAACGGGUGAGUAAUACAUCGGAACGUGCCUAGUAGUGGGGGAUAACUACUCGAAAGAGUGGCUACUACCGCAUGAGAUCUACGGAUGAAAGCAGGGGAUCGCAAGAACUUGCGUUACUAGAGCGGCCGAUUGUAGAUUAGGUAGUUGGUGGGAUAAAAGCUGACCAAGCCGACGAGCUGUAGCUGGUCUGAGAGGACGAUCAGCCACACUGGGACUGAGACACGGCCCAGACUCCUACGGGAGGCAGCAGUGGGGAAUUUUGGACAAUGGGCGAAAGCCUGAUCCAGCAAUGCCGCGUGCAGGAUGAAGGCCUUCGGGUUGUAAACUGCUUUUGUACGGAACGAAAAGCCCCGGGUUAAUACCCUGGGGUCAUGACGGUACCGUAAGAAUAAGCACCGGCUAACUACGUGCCAGCAGCCGCGGUAA
This 498-nucleotide ribosomal RNA is filed under the name uncultured bacterium. RNAcentral describes it as "partial 16S ribosomal RNA". It matches the Rfam family "Bacterial small subunit ribosomal RNA", at positions 30 to 523 of the family's 1533-position model. The record is from RNAcentral.